Non-coding RNA from Pelobates cultripes (western spadefoot toad), 208 nucleotides. The record is from the annotation of a GenBank genome assembly. Lineage: Eukaryota; Metazoa; Chordata; Amphibia; Anura; Pelobatidae.
GGUUCCCUCGCCCAGUCUGUCUCUCCAUGGUUCCCUAGCUCAGCCUGUCUCUCCAUGGUUCCCUAGCUCAGCCUGUCUCUCCAUGGUUCCCUCGCUCAGCCUGUCUCUCCAUGGUUCCCUCGCUCAGCCUCUCUCUCCAUGGUUCCCUCGCUCAGCCUCUCUCUCCAUGGUUCCCUCGCCCAGCCUGUCUCUCCAUGGUUCCCUCACC